CAGGCUUAACACAUGCAAGUCGAGGGGCAUCAGGAAGAAAGCUUGCUUUCUUUGCUGGCGACCGGUGCACGGGUGAGUAACACGUAUCCAACCUGCCCUUUACUCGGGGAUAGCCUUUCGAAAGAAAGAUUAAUACCCGAUAGCAUAAUGAUUCCGCAUGGUUUCAUUAUUAAAGGAUUCCGGUAAAGGAUGGGGAUGCGUUCCAUUAGGUUGUUGGUGAGGUAACGGCCCACCAAGCCUUCGAUGGAUAGGGGUUCUGAGAGGAAGGUCCCCCACAUUGGAACUGAGACACGGUCCAAACUCCUACGGGAGGCAGCAGUGAGGAAUAUUGGUCAAUGGGCGCUAGCCUGAACCAGCCAAGUAGCGUGAAGGAUGAAGGCUCUAUGGGUCGUAAACUUCUUUUAUAUAAGAAUAAAGUGCAGUAUGUAUACUGUUUUGUAUGUAUUAUAUGAAUAAGGAUCGGCUAACUCCGUGCCAGCAGCCGCGGUAAUACGGAGGAUCCGAGCGUUAUCCGGAUUUAUUGGGUUUAAAGGGAGCGUAGGUGGACUGGUAAGUCAGUUGUGAAAGUUUGCGGCUCAACCGUAAAAUUGCAGUUGAUACUGUCAGUCUUGAGUACAGUAGAGGUGGGCGGAAUUCGUGGUGUAGCGGUGAAAUGCUUAGAUAUCACGAAGAACUCCGAUUGCGAAGGCAGCUCACUGGACUGCAACUGACACUGAUGCUCGAAAGUGUGGGUAUCAAACAGGAUUAGAUACCCUGGUAGUCCACACAGUAAACGAUGAAUACUCGCUGUUUGCGAUAUACAGUAAGCGGCCAAGCGAAAGCAUUAAGUAUUCCACCUGGGGAGUACGCCGGCAACGGUGAAACUCAAAGGAAUUGACGGGGGCCCGCACAAGCGGAGGAACAUGUGGUUUAAUUCGAUGAUACGCGAGGAACCUUACCCGGGCUUAAAUUGCAGUGGAAUGAUGUGGAAACAUGUCAGUGAGCAAUCACCGCUGUGAAGGUGCUGCAUGGUUGUCGUCAGCUCGUGCCGUGAGGUGUCGGCUUAAGUGCCAUAACGAGCGCAACCCUUAUCUUUAGUUACUAACAGGUUAUGCUGAGGACUCUAGAGAGACUGCCGUCGUAAGAUGUGAGGAAGGUGGGGAUGACGUCAAAUCAGCACGGCCCUUACGUCCGGGGCUACACACGUGUUACAAUGGGGGGGUACAGAAGGCAGCUAGCGGGUGACCGUAUGCUAAUCCCAAAAUCCUCUCUCAGUUCGGAUCGAAGUCUGCAACCCGACUUCGUGAAGCUGGAUUCGCUAGUAAUCGCGCAUCAGCCACGGCGCGGUGAAUACGUUCCCGGGCCUUGUACACACCGCCCGUCAAGCCAUGGGAGCCGGGGGUACCUGAAGUACGUAACCGCAAGGAUCGUCCUAGGGUAAAACUGGUGACUGGGGCUAAGUCAUAACA
This 1448-nucleotide ribosomal RNA is filed under the name uncultured organism. Its description in RNAcentral is "16S ribosomal RNA". It matches the Rfam family "Bacterial small subunit ribosomal RNA". The record is from RNAcentral.